Molecule: ribosomal RNA, 506 nt
Filed under: uncultured bacterium
Lineage: Bacteria
Description: partial 16S ribosomal RNA
Rfam family: Bacterial small subunit ribosomal RNA
Source: RNAcentral
AGUGAACGCUGGCGGUAGGCCUAACACAUGCAAGUCGAACGGCAGCACAGGAGAGCUUGCUCUCUGGGUGGCGAGUGGCGGACGGGUGAGGAAUACAUCGGAAUCUACUCUGUCGUGGGGGAUAACGUAGGGAAACUUACGCUAGUACCGCAUACGACCUACGGGUGAAAGCAGGGGAUCUUCGGACCUUGCGCGAUUGAAUGAGCCGAUGUCGGAUCAGCUAGUUGGCGGGGUAAAGGCACACCAAGGCGACGAUCCGUAGCUGGUCUGGGAGGAUGAUCAGCCACACUGGAACUGAGACACGGUCCAGACUCCUACGGGAGGCAGCAGUGGGGAAUAUUGGACAAUGGGCGCAAGCCUGAUCCAGCCAUACCGCGUGGGUGAAGAAGGCCUUCGGGUUGUAAAGCCCUUUUGUUGGGAAAGAAAUCCAGCUGGCUAAUACCCGGUUGGGAUGACGGUACCCAAAGAAUAAGCACCGGCUAACUUCGUGCCAGCCGCCGCCGUAA